ACGGGUGAGUAACACGUGGAUAACCUACCUAUAAGACUGGGAUAACUUCGGGAAACCGGAGCUAAUACCGGAUAACAUAUUGAACCGCAUGGUUCAAUAGUGAAAGGCGGCUUUGCUGUCACUUAUAGAUGGAUCCGCGCCGUAUUAGCUAGUUGGUAAGGUAACGGCUUACCAAGGCAACGAUACGUAGCCGACCUGAGAGGGUGAUCGGCCACACUGGAACUGAGACACGGUCCAGACUCCUACGGGAGGCAGCAGUAGGGAAUCUUCCGCAAUGGGCGAAAGCCUGACGGAGCAACGCCGCGUGAGUGAUGAAGGUCUUCGGAUCGUAAAACUCUGUUAUCAGGGAAGAACAAAUGUGUAAGUAACUGUGCACAUCUUGACGGUACCUGAUCAGAAAGCCACGGCUAACUACGUGCCAGCAGCCGCGGUAAUACGUAGGUGGCAAGCGUUAUCCGGAAUUAUUGGGCGUAAAGCGCGCGUAGGCGGUUUUUUAAGUCUGAUGUGAAAGCCCACGGCUCAACCGUGGAGGGUCAUUGGAAACUGGAAAACUUGAGUGCAGAAGAGGAAAGUGGAAUU
Molecule: ribosomal RNA, 579 nt
Filed under: uncultured bacterium
Lineage: Bacteria
Also listed under: 1 other name
Description: bacterial SSU rRNA
Rfam family: Bacterial small subunit ribosomal RNA
Source: RNAcentral